Molecule: non-coding RNA, 5397 nt
Organism: Callithrix jacchus (white-tufted-ear marmoset)
Lineage: Eukaryota; Metazoa; Chordata; Mammalia; Primates; Cebidae
Source: RefSeq, a predicted model, not a curated record
CUUCUCUGGGGUAGUAAUCCGGGCCCCACCCCGUGCAGCUUUGAGAGGCUUCGCGCCUUCCAGGCAGGACUACUGGGGGUUCCCAAAAGCACCCCCGCGGCCAGCUCUGUCAGGACCACCGGGGUCCAUGUGAACGCGAUUCCAGGGCCCCACCGUGUCGCCUGAAGCGGAAUCUCUGGUCGGGGCCCAGGAAUCCGAGUUUUUGAAACAAGGAGAAGACGUUUCUCGAACCUGUUUGCAGAGAGCCGUCUUGCCCGCUUUGAGGGCCCUUUCUCGGGAGACCUGUUUACUUUGUUCAGCCUCUGAAUUCAGCAGACCCACUUGAUUGGCUGAAUGAGGAGGAAAUCCACCAAGGCCACUAGCUUGUGAGUGAAUGUGGUCCCUUCAGGUAAGGGCCAGGCAGCCUCUGCCAGGACUUGGGAAGGGUUUUCCUAGAGGAAUCCUGGCAGAAAAAAAAAAAACACAAAAACCCAAACUCUCCAAGGGCUGGACGCUGGAGAAUCCCAGCAAGGAAAAGAAACAAAUCUUAUCUCAUGCCGGAAGAUAACCUCUUCCCUUUGUUGGCGCUUUUCCUUGCUUUCAGGAUGAAUUAAAAUUCUUAUCUGCUCUGCACCCAGUGAACUUGGCCUCGCCUUCCUGAUUGCUGCGGCUGACUUUCUCAAGCUUUGUGGGGUUAUUUUUGCCUCUGGGUGGUGGUCAUUCCUUCCCAGGCAUUAGGUUCAACACAGUCACAGAAAAAGAGGAACUUAGCAAACACCCUCAAAUGGCAGGACCGACCCCCAAAACCUACUUUCAUUUUCUUCCAUUCUGGGUUCUGGGUAAUUUCUUGACAACUACGAGAAAGAAGACAGCGAGAAAUGAAUUGUUUUUCCAAUGCAGUUGUGAACAGAUGUAUAACCUCCUAGUUGCAGGGACGUUCUAGGAAUCCCUCACACCACCUUAAAGGGCCAGGGAAACGGGAGGAGGUGCUGAGGGUUGGGUGGGUGCUCAGCGUUGGCUGGGCUCAGCCUCAUCCUAACGAGAGCUGCAGCCAUAACCUGGGUCACCUUUGCUGUCUCGGGCUUCUAAAUUUGGCAGUGAGAACAGGCUUGCUUCCUUUGAGCUAUUGAUCUGAAUAGCCGAAUCUCAUUCUGAUGGUCCGAAUUACAUUUACAGGCUGCUAGGGUGAAGGCCUUGCUAAUUGGCCACUUGCCUCACCACUGGCUUUGAAACAAUCGCUUGCAUUCUAAGCCCGGCAGGAAGCAGCAGACCCAUCAAGGCCCUAGGCUUGCUCUUUGUUCUGACUUCAUGGCAUUUUAUGCCACAAUAAGAAACACUGUGUACUCCGUGGGAGCCCAUUGUGCCAGGCUGCAAGGAUGUGGGCUCCGGUGCAGAGGGCCUGGUGCUCUUCCCCAGGAAGAAGAGGGGCUUUGUGACAGGCUGGGGGGACAAAACAAGGGGUGCUGGACACUGUUACUGGGGCAACUGCCUGGCCAGUGUGGAGGCAGCUUUAGUCCCUGGGACCUCUUCUGUGCCCAAGGAGGGGGCGGGGCAGGGGAAGGAUGGAAUUUCAUCUAGAGUAGCAGGUCCUGGUUAGCUGGUUAAUUAUGCAUCAAGACUGGGCUAGCCACUGCCUCCGUUUCUUGGGCUACCGAGACAACCUCCACCUGCCUCUAGAUUCCGUGCCAGCUGAUCGUAUCUAUCUCACCAACUCUUGUUCCACCAGAAAACGGCAUCUUGUGACAGUCCUGUAUCCUCCCAAGCGACCUUGAGGACCUCAACAGCUUGGACAUCUAAUAAACAGCACUGCGGGGUUUCAGGCCACCACUGGCCAGCUGUGGGUCACAUUCGGACUUACCCUCUCUCUUUCAACCUGGCUGUGGCUGAGCCUCGUGAGUUCUGCAAACCUCUGCUCAUAGAAGUGAAGCAGCAGCACCAGCUCCUUCUCACCAACCAAGCCCUGGCCCUUGCUUGUCUUCCUCGGACCUGGCUUCCUCCUGCAGAAGCUGCCCAUGGUUUUCUCACCAGUGCUCUUUGCCAGCCAGACUUUAUGCUCAAGACACUUGGAUGUAUAACGGCAAAUCAAUCAGCUAGAAAAUGGCUUGCAACUUUCAGGCCAAGAGACUUGCUACUGAUGGAAAUUCUCAAUAUGAUCCACUGGAAGAAGCUGACAGCCUGGCGCUGAACGUUCUAUCAAGUCUUCAAAUAUGUUCAAGAGAUGCUCCCAGAAGUGGUGCCACUUCUCCAGAAGAGAAGCCAUUUGCCAAGGACGAGCAACAGGAGGGUGACCAGGAGCCUUAGCAGGAAUCCCAGCAGAAUAUUCAAACUUCCUGCACAUCCCAGGCAGCAGAACUUCACACUGCCCUGAGGCCACUGAGCCCAUGGAACCUUUCUUCCCCAGCCAGCACCAGCCAGAAGGUCCUUUGAGCCUGCAAGCUCCUUAAGAAUGAGGAUCAUCUCUUAGCCAGUCUACGCCUUGCCUCAUACUGUCGUGCAGGACUAAUAUUAGUAUGAUUUAUGGGGCUUGAGAAGAUGCAUUCAGCCCAAAUUACAGGGGAACUUCAAAACUAGAACACAUUUUUGUUGUUGUUGUCGUGCAAACUGCCCAAGAUGGCUUAAGAUAAAGGUUAUUUAAUUUGUUUGCUUGUUCAAAAACACUGCUUUCUUCAAAGCAUCAGAUCUCCUAAUGAUUGCCAAAACCAUUACCAUGUGUCCUCGAAUCAAGUUCUCAGCAAACUAAUAAAGCUGAACAACUGGAGACUGUUUUACCAGUUUCACUGCCUGGCAGUGAAGAAAUUGCCACUAUCCGUGGAGGCAGGAUCCUCUGACCUUCAGCAACUGUAACCUCAGUUUCUGUAACUGUAAAAUGGUCCAUCUUGUUAUUGCAAAGUUUAGCAAAAAUGUACAUAAAUGGCCUAACUGGUGCACGUUAAGUGUAAUAAUGAUGGCUGCAUAUUCCACUGUCAAGAAUACUACCACUAGUACUGAGAAGAAUAAUGGGAAAUCUGCAGUCAUUCCAGUGAGACAACUGAAUUUGACCAGAAACUCAUUGUUAUGCAGACUUCACAGGUUAGGAAUAACUUAUUCAAUAGCCUUCAUUCCUGUGUAGUUUUUGUUGAUUCUCUCCCUCAUCCUUCUUUAUGAAAUCCAAACGGCAAAUAGCAACUCUUUAUAUUAUGAUCUGUUCAACAAAUACCUGUGUGCCUUUGCUAUGCUAUAAUUUGUGGGUUCACAAAGAUGAGCAAGACAUUGCCUCAUGACCUUAAAGAUUAUUAUAAUCUAAUUCGUCGGCAGUGCUGACUUCUUCCCUGUGAUACCCUUUUGGUUCUGUGGAAAACAAACUCUCUCACAAAAUACUUUCUCUUCUCUGUCUGUAAGCACAGUCACAAAUGAGGUGACCCAGACUGCACAGUUUGUGUGUACAUGGGUUUAAGAAUUUUCAGCACUCACCGGCCGGGCGCUGUGGCUCAUGCCUGUAAUCCCAGCACUUUGGGAGGCUCAGGCGGGCAAAUCACAAGGUCAAGAGUUCAAGAUCACCCUGACCAACAUGGUGAAACCCUCUGUCUACUAAAAAUACAAAAAAUUAGCUGGGCAUGGUGGUACGUGCCUGUAAUCCCAGCUACUUGGGAAGCUGAGGCAGGAGAAUCUCUUGAACCUGGGAGGCAGAGGUUGCAGUGAGCAGAGAUUGUACGUACCACUGCACUCCAGCCUGGGCGACAGAGAGAGACUCCACCUCAAAAAAAAAAAAAGUUUAUAACACUCAUCCAUCUGGGCAUGGAGGCUCAUGUCGGUAAUCCCAACACUUUGAGAGGCCAAGGCAGGAAGAUCACUUGAGCCCAGGAGUUUGAGACCAGCCUGGGCAACAAAGUGAGACUACUGUUUCUACAAAAAAGGAAAUAAAAAUUAUCUGGGUAUGCUGGCACACACCUGUGAUCCCGGCUACAUGGGAGGCUGAGGCAACAGGAUUGCUUGAGCCCAGGAGGUUGAGGCUGCAGUGAGCCAUAUUUGUGCCACUGAACUCCAGCCUGGGCAAGAGCAAGACCUUGUCUCAAAAAAGAAAGAGUUUCAAACCCUCAAUUUGUACACCAAGUUCCCAUCACUUUACUCGCAUGAAAAGUGAAUGAAAUUUUAGACCUUUGGGGUCUUUCUCAGCUGGGUUCUCACCAUGCCAUGGAUUCAUAGAUUAAUCUGCAGGAAGACCAAGUCCUAUUUACACCGGAAGAUGAAUUGUAACUUCCUUUCCAAGUAGAAGGACAAGAUCUUUGCCUUACAGAAAAGUAAGGGGUUUGUGUUCAGGAGUUUCAUUGCCAGGUAACUCAGUGUCCUGUCUGUCAGUGAAUUUGGGGAAGACUGUGGUUAGCUUUGGACAGCAUAUAGUCCAUAGCUCCAGGAUCUGAGCAAGGCGAUGCCUCCACUUGUAAAGAAACCCAACUGCUGUUUAGAUUAAAGGCACCUGCCUCCAUUUUCUUGACAAUGCUGGGAAGCUGUGAUUGUCAGCUGGAUAGUUCUUAAUUUGACCAGGAAAGGGGGGAAAAGGGUGGAAAUCUCAUAUUUGUACAAGACCCUCACAACUGAGAACCAGUCCAUUCAAUUGCUCACGUUCAGCUCCACCCAUCACUUGCCACAUACAGAUAGUUCUUGAUAGACAAAGUCGAAAAGGAAGCAUAAAGGGGAAAUUCGGUUCCUGAACCCUCAUCCCGCCCCACACCACCUUGACUGGGAUUCCUGGUGCCUAGGAGGUACCAAGAUCCCAUUGGAGAGACACCUCUUUGAAAAAAAUGUGCUUUCUUUGGAUCCUGGGAAGAAUUACAGCUUAAUCGCAGGAGCCAAUGUUGCCUUGGGGUAAUAGGCAGCUUUCUGUGCAGUCACAAAUAAUAAUAGGCCGCCUCUGUUUGCCUGAGUGUACGAGAAAUGUGUGUUGUCUCACAUACCCAGAGGAUAUCUUAAUUAAAGCUUAAUUAUGUACCAUACAUAUGUUUUAUUUUGGAACUUGGGGGUGGAAUUUUUGAUUUUAGGAAGGUUGAUGCCUAAUAAGUAGGCAGGCAGGGGAACGUAAACACCGGCUGAGCCCUUUCUUUUGUCCCUCCUCUAAGUGGUUCUGAAUGGGUUUUGGUUCCAGUGUGUGCCUUCAGAACAGCCUGCCCCCGGCGCCACCGCUUAGGGUGGCCUCAGCGUGUGCACAUUCACAGAGCCAACGGUAUGAUCACACGCAGGAGAGCCUGUUUGGUUUCUGGGGGUGACACUGCACAGCGUGCCAGCUACAGGAGGUAAGAAAUCAAAAUAAGUCUCUGGAGAGGAUGAGAUUUUAUUGGUCGCUUGCUCCUUUGGCGCUAGAAGGUGGAGCCCGAGUACAGUGGUCACGCUGUCCCAUCUUCCUGCUCCCCCAACACCACACCACCUGGUAUUGUUCUUGGCAUU